AGUGAACGCUGGCGGUAGGCCUAACACAUGCAAGUCGAACGGCAGCACAGUAAGAGCUUGCUCUUACGGGUGGCGAGUGGCGGACGGGUGAGGAAUACAUCGGAAUCUACUUUUUCGUGGGGGAUAACGUAGGGAAACUUACGCUAAUACCGCAUACGACCUACGGGUGAAAGCAGGGGAUCUUCGGACCUUGCGCGAUUGAAUUAGCCGAUGUCGGAUUAGCUAGUUGGCGGGGUAAAGGCCCACCAAGGCGACGAUCCGUAGCUGGUCUGAGAGGAUGAUCAGCCACACUGGAACUGAGACACGGUCCAGACUCCUACGGGAGGCAGCAGUAGGGAAUCUUGGACAAUGGGCGCAAGCCUGAUCCAGCCAUACCGCGUGGGUGAAGAAGGCCUUCGGGUUGUAAAGCCCUUUUGUUGGGAAAGAAAAGCAGCAGGUUAAUACCCCGCUGUUCUGACGGUACCCAAAGAAUAAGCACCGGCUAACUUCGUG
This 492-nucleotide ribosomal RNA is filed under the name uncultured bacterium. Its description in RNAcentral is "partial 16S ribosomal RNA". It matches the Rfam family "Bacterial small subunit ribosomal RNA", at positions 29 to 507 of the family's 1533-position model. The record is from RNAcentral.